GUGAGGAAUUUUCCGCAAUGGGCGAAAGCCUGACGGAGCAAUGCCGCGUGAAGGAUGAAGGCCUAUGGGUUGUAAACUUCUUUUCUCAGAAAAGAAUUAUGACGGUAUCUGAGGAAUAAGCAUCGGCUAACUCUGUGCCAGCAGCCGCGGUAAGACAGAGGAUCCAAGCGUUAUCCGGAAUGAUUGGGCGUAAAGCGUCUGUAGGUUGUUUAAAAAGUAUUCUGUCAAAGAUUAGGGCUUAACCCUAGAUAGGCAGAAUAAACUUUUAAGCUAGAGUUUGGUAGAGGCAGAGGGAAUUCCCGGUGGAGCGGUGAAAUGCGUAGAUAUCGGGAGGAACACCAAAGGCGAAGGCACUCUGCUGGGCCAAUACUAACACUGAGAGACGAAAGCGAGGGGAGCAAAUGGGAUUAGAAACCCUAGUAGUCC
Molecule: ribosomal RNA, 426 nt
Filed under: uncultured bacterium
Lineage: Bacteria
Description: partial 16S ribosomal RNA
Rfam family: Bacterial small subunit ribosomal RNA
Source: RNAcentral